RNAcentral lists this ribosomal RNA (465 nucleotides) under Vreelandella stevensii. Its description in RNAcentral is "partial 16S ribosomal RNA". It matches the Rfam family "Bacterial small subunit ribosomal RNA", at positions 338 to 795 of the family's 1533-position model. The record is from RNAcentral. Lineage: Bacteria; Pseudomonadati; Pseudomonadota; Gammaproteobacteria; Oceanospirillales; Halomonadaceae.
CCUACGGGGGGCAGCAGUGGGGAAUAUUGGACAAUGGGCGAAAGCCUGAUCCAGCCAUGCCGCGUGUGUGAAGAAGGCCUUCGGGUUGUAAAGCACUUUCAGUGGGGAAGAAAGCCUUGGGGCUAAUACCCUCGAGGAAGGACAUCACCCACAGAAGAAGCACCGGCUAACUCCGUGCCAGCAGCCGCGGUAAUACGGAGGGUGCGAGCGUUAAUCGGAAUUACUGGGCGUAAAGCGCGCGUAGGCGGUCUGAUAAGCCGGUUGUGAAAGCCCCGGGCUCAACCUGGGAACGGCAUCCGGAACUGUCAGGCUAGAGUGCAGGAGAGGAAGGUAGAAUUCCCGGUGUAGCGGUGAAAUGCGUAGAGAUCGGGAGGAAUACCAGUGGCGAAGGCGGCCUUCUGGACUGACACUUACGCUGAGGUGCGAAAGCGUGGGUAGCAAACAGGAUUAGAUACCCGAGUAGUC